CUGUGAUAUUCCACUUCUGCUUUCUCUGGACAAUUCAUCAGAUUCAAUCUAAAAAGUGGAGGGGGAAAAUACAACACUGCAACAGCUCUGCUGUUCCUUUGCUACUGAUUGCUCUCUGUUCAGGCACAGUACAAGACUCGAGCAUCAGAGAGAAAAGAGCUGAAUUAAGGAACGAGCUACUCUGGCAUCUGCUCCUGCUGCCCAACUGUAUGGCAGGGCAAAAGUCCUGCUAUAGCACUUCUGGCUGCUCGAGGCAGUUCCAGGAGUUGGACUCUACAAUCUUUUUGGGUCUCUUACAACACAGCAUAUUCAAUGCUCCUAUGAUUCUAAGAACCGUGCCUGGACAGCAAGAGGGUCUGCAUAAGCCACUGAGGCAGCAAGAGGCAGAGCAUGCCUUUUCACGCUCCUACAGUCUCACUGUGAAGAAGAAUCUGAAGCAAAAUGCCUUCCAAAGAAUUGUUCAGGAGUUUCACUUUUUCCAUUGGUGAUUAUUGAAAUGAAGCAGAAUCUAGAACCACAACUUCCAGCGAAGAAGUGGCAUGAAGCUAUGUAUUUAUAGGAAAGCAACAAUGUACACAAAGAAUGCAUACCCCAGCAACUACAUUCUCCCUUUCUACUGCAUACCGUCUCCAAUGUCACAGCGUCCCCUAAGUGUUAACGUCACACUGUGGGACAUUGUCCUGGAAAACCUCUCAGCUGUGCAUACAGGGACAGUGCAGCAAUGGAGUUCCCCUUUCCUGAGACCCUCCAAAGAAGAAUCCUGUUGUGAGAAUGAAAAUCAUAGCAGCAGAAGCUGUGGCCUGAGCAGAGAACAAACUCACUGGAAAGCAACCACCUUCUCAAGUAGGCCUGUAGCUAGCAUGCAAGUGAUAUAAGCUGGAGUUUUACCGCCCCUCUCAGUGGGUCUUUUCCUUAUAUAUCAAUUUGAAAAAGCAAAAAUUGGGCUUAUGAAGGCUGUGGAUGACAUGGUUGUAUCUUUUGCUCAUUGUUUUCCAACUGUUCUUCAAAAUACUUGGAAGUAUAUUUAUUCUUCAUGAUCACUCAUAGUUUUUAAUGUUACAACAUGAUAUACAAAAUGGUAGGAGUUUCAGAUUCUCUUCACAGAGAGGAAGAUGUGGAGCUGAAUAAUUCAAGAAGUUGCAAGACUUUUAUUCAGGGAGUAAUGUGCACUGGCAUGGAACACCAGGAGAAGACUUGGAUUAUAGGUUUAUCUGUCUCUUUUUAUGGGUGACCUUGAAAAUGCUUAGAGAAAACUGGAGAGAAAAGCAAUUACAUUUUUGAAAUUACACACCACUGUUCUCAUUCAUCUUGAUAAGCACUUUUAAGUAAUCCAAAAAAGGCUGGAAUAAUGCUUUUACAAGAGUUAUAGAGAUCUUCGCUCUACAGAGUCAGUUUUAAAAUAAAUUUAGAUGUACAAAGAUGAUUCUUUUACUUCCUUUGUCUUGCUAAAUUGGCCAUUUCUAAAAUACUUCAGUCUGAUACUGAGGCUUUUGGCAAAAAAAAGUGUACAGGAUUUUUUUUUCUCGUUCUGAAAAGAUAUACAGCAACUCAGUUUGUGUUGUGCAGUCAUCC
Gallus gallus (chicken) is the source of this 1572-nucleotide long non-coding RNA. The record is from Ensembl. Lineage: Eukaryota; Metazoa; Chordata; Aves; Galliformes; Phasianidae.